RNAcentral lists this small RNA (965 nucleotides) under Aspergillus flavus. RNAcentral's name for it is "eukaryotic LSU rRNA". The stretch from base 468 to 613 matches the Rfam family "5.8S ribosomal RNA". The record is from RNAcentral. Lineage: Eukaryota; Fungi; Ascomycota; Eurotiomycetes; Eurotiales; Aspergillaceae.
AGGUUCAGAAUUCACAUACAAGCACCCUUCGCACAUUCCUACCUUCUCUGCGCUCUCCGCCCGAAGCCUUCCGGCCCUCCCGGAGCCCCUAAUCUCCCGCUCACGGUGAGAACUUCCCCCCCAAAAUGCCGAAACAAUCUCUUGUUAUUUCAAAGGCGCGUUGCUUACGCAAGUCUUUAUCCAUUCUUCUUGAACGUCCUUCGCCCCCAACUAAUCAGGCAGCGUGCAUGCUCGAGCGUCCUUCCCAUCAAGCUCUGCUUGCUUGGACGACAGCUUUGCGGCGUCAUACCUCUGCAUGACGUGACUACUAGCUCUUAAAACAGAGCCUUCUAACCCCACGUUCCUAUUGACGACUCUCAGCUCCUGGAAAACGGCCUCCUUUAGCGCGCGUUCAGCCGGGCCGCCGGAGACACCACGAACUCUGUCUGAUCUAGUGAAGUCUGAGUUGAUUGUAUCGCAAUCAGUUAAAACUUCAACAAUGGAUCUCUUGGUUCCGGCAUCGAUGAAGAACGCAGCGAAAUGCGAUAACUAGUGUGAAUUGCAGAAUUCCGUGAAUCAUCGAGUCUUGAACGCACAUUGCGCCUGGUAUUCGGGCAUGCCUGUCCGAGCGUCAUUGCUGCCCAUCAAGCACGGCUUGUGUGUUGGGUCGUCGUCCCCUCUCCGGGGGGGACGGGCCCCAAAGGCAGCGGCGGCACCGCGUCCGAUCCUCGAGCGCCAGGUGGGUUCCGAGAGUUUAACACCCCAAUAUUAACUCCAACCCAUACCCGGAUAAACUCUCGGUGAAAUUCUCUUCUCUUAAUGGGAGGAAUUCUAAACCUCCUUUCUGCCUCAUACUUCUUAAACCUCCAUCUUAUUCCAUUAUACGAUGACGAUCGCCUCAUCUUGUCUAAGCAGCUACUAUACAUAACUCACUUGCUAUCCCAUUCUCGUUACUAUACUGACUUUAUCCCCGUAGUCCGUUCUUA